RNAcentral lists this ribosomal RNA (118 nucleotides) under Diaphorina citri (Asian citrus psyllid). The record is from RNAcentral. Lineage: Eukaryota; Metazoa; Arthropoda; Insecta; Hemiptera; Psyllidae.
ACCAGCGGCGGUAGCCCGUUGAAUGCACCAGUUUCCCAUGGAUCACUCAAGUUAAGUAACGUUGUGCAUGGUUAGUACCUGGAUGGAUGACCAUCUGGGGAAUCGCGUGCUGCUGGGU